AAGCGGUGGAGCAUGUGGUUUAAUCGAGGCAACGCGAAGAACCUUACCAGGUCUUGACAUCCGAUGCUAUUUCUAGAGAUAGAAAGUUACUUCGGUACAUCGGUGACAGGUGGUGCAUGGUUGUCGUCAGCUCGUGUCGUGAGAUGUUGGGUUAAGUCCCGCAACGAGCGCAACCCCUAUUGUUAGUUGCCAUCAUUCAGUUGGGCACUCUAGCGAGACUGCCGGUAAUAAACCGGAGGAGGUGGGAUGACGUCAAAUCAUCAUGCCCCUUAUGACCUGGGCUACACACGUGCUACAAUGGUUGGUACAACGAGUUGCGAGUCGGUGACGGCGAGCUAAUCUCUUAAAGCCAAUCUCAGUUCGGAUUGUAGGCUGCAACUCGCCUACAUGAAGUCGGAAUCGCUAGUAAUCGCGGAUCAGCACGCCGCGGUGAAUACGUUCCCGGGCCUU
Molecule: ribosomal RNA, 450 nt
Filed under: uncultured Streptococcus sp.
Lineage: Bacteria; Bacillati; Bacillota; Bacilli; Lactobacillales; Streptococcaceae
Description: bacterial SSU rRNA
Rfam family: Bacterial small subunit ribosomal RNA
Source: RNAcentral